Molecule: ribosomal RNA, 759 nt
Filed under: uncultured bacterium
Lineage: Bacteria
Description: bacterial SSU rRNA
Rfam family: Bacterial small subunit ribosomal RNA
Source: RNAcentral
AGAGUUUGAUCCUGGCUCAGAUUGAACGCUGGCGGCAUGCCUUACACAUGCAAGUCGAACGGUAACGGGUCCUUCGGGAUGCCGACGAGUGGCGAACGGGUGAGUAAUAUAUCGGAACGUGCCCAGUAGUGGGGGAUAACUGCUCGAAAGAGCAGCUAAUACCGCAUACGACCUGAGGGUGAAAGGGGGGGAUCGCAAGACCUCUCGCUAUUGGAGCGGCCGAUAUCAGAUUAGCUAGUUGGUGGGGUAAAGGCCUACCAAGGCAACGAUCUGUAGUUGGUCUGAGAGGACGACCAGCCACACUGGGACUGAGACACGGCCCAGACUCCUACGGGAGGCAGCAGUGGGGAAUUUUGGACAAUGGGCGCAAGCCUGAUCCAGCAAUGCCGCGUGCAGGAAGAAGGCCUUCGGGUUGUAAGCUGCUUUUGUCAGGGAAGAAAUCUUCUGGGCUAAUACCCCGGGAGGAUGACGGUACCUGAAGAAUAAGCACCGGCUAACUACGUGCCAGCAGCCGCGGUAAUACGUAGGGUGCGAGCGUUAAUCGGAAUUACUGGGCGUAAAGCGUGCGCAGGCGGCUUUGCAAGACAGAUGUGAAAUCCCCGGGCUCAACCUGGGAACUGCAUUUGUGACUGCAAGGCUAGAGUACGGCAGAGGGGGAUGGAAUUCCGCGUGUAGCAGUGAAAUGCGUAGAUAUGCGGAGGAACACCAAUGGCGAAUGCAAUCCCCUGGGCCUGUACUGACGCUCAUGCACGAAAGCGU